Molecule: small RNA, 27 nt
Filed under: Bombyx mori (domestic silkworm)
Lineage: Eukaryota; Metazoa; Arthropoda; Insecta; Lepidoptera; Bombycidae
Description: ovarian small RNA-28070
Source: RNAcentral
UCCUUGGGCUUUACAACACUCAUGCGC